Molecule: ribosomal RNA, 253 nt
Filed under: uncultured prokaryote
Description: partial 16S ribosomal RNA
Rfam family: Bacterial small subunit ribosomal RNA
Source: RNAcentral
UACAGAGGGUGCUAGCGUUGUUCGGAAUUAUUGGGCGUAAAGCGCGUGUAGGCGGUCUCGCAAGUUGGGUGUGAAAGCCCUCGGCUUAACCGAGGAAGUGCGCCCAAAACUACGAGACUUGAGUAUCGGAGAGGGUGGCGGAAUUCCCGGUGUAGAGGUGAAAUUCGUAGAUAUCAGGAGGAAUACCGGCGGCGAAGGCGGCCCUCUGGAUCGUUGCUGACGCUGAGACGCGAAAGCGUGGGGAGCAAACAGG